This 906-nucleotide ribosomal RNA is filed under the name Triticum aestivum (bread wheat). Its description in RNAcentral is "partial small subunit ribosomal RNA". The record is from RNAcentral. Lineage: Eukaryota; Viridiplantae; Streptophyta; Magnoliopsida; Poales; Poaceae.
AUGCCGCCGAAGAAGAAGGCUUCGGAGGCGGCUGCUCCGUCCGCGCCAAACCCACCACCGCCGGAGCAAACGGCUGAUGGGGCAGACGCCGGCGGAAGAACGGGCGUCGACAAGGGAGCUCACGGUGCUGCCAGGUCCAAGGACAAGGCUGCGCUGCCCAUCGGCGGCGUAGUCGGCUCCCACAAUGACCGGGCGCACUCCAAGACCUCGGCGUCCGUACAUGCACCGCGCCCAUCUCAGGAGGCGCGGGACCGGCAGCGUAAUGGUGCUCACAGUACCAUGCGUUUGCUGGACCAAGAUCGAGCUGGUGGAUCUCGGAGUGCUCAAGACCAGCAUGCACGCCAACAUGCUGGCACGAGCGAGGCACGGUCGCCUGGACGGGAUACUGCUCCUUCUAACAUAGUUAGAAGUCCGAGCAUAUCCCGCUCCUCGCACCGUUCGCCACCGUCACCCGCCACUCCAGCGGAAGCUUUGGCGCGAGCUCAACUGCUCCUGGACUACCCUCCAAGGCAGACAAGAUCGACGACUGGAGGGCCACCAUUCAGAGUCUCAUCGGCUUCGCCAACGGCGACACUCAACGGCAGCCGAGCACGUCGUAGCCGCGGCAAGUCAGCCAGGCACGAGCCGGUGGCGACAAGACCGGUGGGGGUGCAACCACUGUGCACUCUCCGCCCCGAAGGCCAAGAUCGCCGACUCGCCGGAUCCACCUCGACAGCGACUCUACCGCAUCAUCAGAUCCACGAGCUCGUCGCGAUCAGCGCCAAGUUCUUCACGAACGACAGCAAGAAGACGCUCGUACUCGCAUCGAGCGCCGAAGAGAAGCGCGACGUCAAUCGGACCAGCGCGUUGGGCCCUCUGUCGACAUGCAUGCGCCAGGGGAAACAAGCGACUUGCCGUACGCGGUAG